Molecule: transfer RNA, 85 nt
Filed under: Oscillospiraceae bacterium
Lineage: Bacteria; Bacillati; Bacillota; Clostridia; Eubacteriales; Oscillospiraceae
Description: tRNA-Leu
Rfam family: tRNA
About the family: Transfer RNA (tRNA) molecules are approximately 80 nucleotides in length. Their secondary structure includes four short double-helical elements and three loops (D, anti-codon, and T loops). Further hydrogen bonds mediate the characteristic L-shaped molecular structure. tRNAs have two regions of fundamental functional importance: the anti-codon, which is responsible for specific mRNA codon recognition, and the 3' end, to which the tRNAs corresponding amino acid is attached (by aminoacyl-tRNA synthetases). tRNAs cope with the degeneracy of the genetic code in two manners: having more than one tRNA (with a specific anti-codon) for a particular amino acid; and 'wobble' base-pairing, i.e. permitting non-standard base-pairing at the 3rd anti-codon position.
Source: RNAcentral
GCGCCCGUGAUGGAAUUGGCAGACAUGCGAGAUUUAGGUUCUCGUGCAGUAAUGCGUGCGGGUUCAAGUCCCACCGGGCGCACCA